AUUGAAUUGAUAAUAAUGUAUUAAUGUUUCAUAUAGGCAACAUGUUCUUCUCCACAUGGACUGAUAUUCUAACACACAUAGAAUUGUUUCCAUGUUUUCCUAAGAACCAAGGAUAGAAUAAAUAGUGAUUUCCCAGAGUCUCAUUGCAACCUUCCUUCCCAUUCAAUUGAGGAUUCGUGUGACACUUGCUUCCCAUUUCAUCAGUACUAGUACGAGUCAACAAUAAGUUCAGAAUUUGCGUGGCUUACAUCGUUGAAUGGUCUGUAUUCUUUUCACCAUCACCAUUGUUUUAUCCAUUUCUUUUCGAACUUGCCUGGCUUACAUCAUUGAACGGGUUGUUGGUGGAUAUGUACUAAUGAAGAAACAAAAGUAACACAAUACACAUGAACCGAUAACAAACUUACACAGGACCUAACAACAAGAACAGGCAUGAACUAACAACGAUAACAAAUUUGCAGGCGGACUGACAACAAGAACACAGAUGAACUUAAAACAAAAAUGUAAAUGGUGACCAACUCAGAGGCAUACUGUAGCACGCAGGAGCGGCAACCAAUUAGUCAACUCAUCAAGGCCACCAAUACGCAGGAGAGCAUGGUGUGGGAAACAAUAAUGGGAGGCUACGUGUGGUCGUGGAUGCAUUGUGGGGGUUGAGCGACAACUGUGGUUGAUGGCAAGCUGGAACGACAAGAACGGGCAGCUUGAGAACAAGUGGGCGGUGCGCGACAUCUCACUUUAGAUGCGCCUGUUGGACUGAUUUCCUUCUCCCAUCUGGACGUAUCAAUUGCAGAACUUUCUAUUAGAAACAUUAAAGAUACAAAAUAGUCGUGUGCUCAAACUUGAAGUAAGAUAUGAUUUCAUGUCCUUAUCCAUUAAUAAAAUCAUACUAUGUACAUUUGUAGAAUACUUGCUCUCAGUACUAGUCAUUCUACUUAGUUAUCCAAAACAGUUGUGAAUGCUACAUCCAUUUUUCUCAAUAAAAUGUAACAUAUAAGUUUGAUACAGACAGAAAUAUGCACCAAAAGAUAUACCCAAAAUUCAAGUUCACAACAUCGGAAGAAACAAAUAAUUUGAUGCCAACCUAAGUGAGCACUGAAAGAUGCAAAGAAGAGGCUUUUUUGAGACAUUGACUUUGGUACAUGUUUUUCUCUACAAAUUGAUAAACCAAGAGCAGUACAGAUGCUCAUUUCUCAUGCUUAACCACAAGCACACGUUUGUUCUAUACGAAGCUGGAAACAUAAAACAGAAAUUGGACUUACAAUGAGGAAGUAGAUGUACUAAAAGUUGAAGCUUUGGAUCCUCAUGACGAACUGGACCAUACUGGAGUUUUGAAUGGUGGUGAAGCUUCACAUCCUUCAUCGUCACUCCUGCCAUGAGCCAAAAUCACAAACUUCAAAAUUACGAACUUCGUCUACUUUAUUUUUUCUUUCAAAAUUUUGCUUGUUUUCUAAACGUCCAACAAGAAUAAUGUAGAUCCUCCAAUUUCACCCUUUUUGUAACUGCUACAUCUGGUUUUGGCUGCAUCCUGAAAAAAUAAAAAUCUAAGAGAUGAGAUACCAGCAUGUGUAAUGAUUCUUGUGCAGAAUAUGGAAACACAAAGAUGAUCAGACUUUUGAUUGGAAAGUAGAUGAGCUGAAAAGCAUCCAAACUACGAACUGAAAACAUUGAAGCUCUGGAACACCCAACAUGGGGCAACAGUGACUGGCGGGGUAGCACUGGAACCCAGCAGUAGAGACAGCCGCUGCAUCGGCCAUGAGCGGCUCGCCACACACAUCUGCUCCAUGCGUUUGUCUCCUUGCUCGCCAUAGUACACUAGCCGCCUACUCACUGUCACCGGUCGGGCCUUGCACAUACCAGUAACCAAUUAACCACGCACUACAACACACCUAGGACUGUAUCUUUGGCACACUUUGAACUGAUGGGUAAUUUUGUGUAUUUUUAUUACUGCACAUGAAGUUAAAGUAACACCAAAACUAGCAACUCUAUUAGCUUCAUCUUUUAGAAGUGCACAAGAAGGUAGAAGAAGAUUGAAACUAGCAACUGUAAUACUUCAUCUUUAGAAGUUAGGGCACAUGAAGGUAAAAGAAGACUGACGAGCUAGUAAAUGUAACAUUGUAAAAAACUAUGAGAUGCAUAACCACACAACAAAAACUAAGAGCAUGCAUGGAAACUCAAACUAUAUGGUUUUGUAGGUAGCAUAGCAUGGUCGCUCAGACCAAAAUCAAACACAGUGGUCAGCUAUAUGAUGUUUCUAUGACCAUGUUGUACCUACGACAGAGCAAUAACAUCACAUCAUGAGAGAAAGGAUGCAACAUGAACAGUUCAGGAGAUAGAACGGGUAGAGAAGAAGUAAAUAUGUUUUGAGGAGAUGAACUGACCAGGAUUUAAAUGAACUCUCACAAGCAGUAUUUUUUAUACUUCUUAUGUAGUAAUACAUGGACUUGCUGUCAAACAAUUCAGGUAGUUGAACUGGCCACACCGCUGCACCAUGUUGCCCAGCUCCUUCUCGACGGCCUGCUUAUUGUGAUCGCCGACGAGCACCCUGGGCUUCACCAUGAACCUGGUUAAAAGAUAUAUGGGACUGGACCCUGUAGAUUUAAAUGAACUCUCACUAGAAGUAAUUUUUGUACUUCCCAUGUAGUACUACAUGGACUUGCUGUAAAAUGCAUGGACCAUGUAAUAAUUUGGAAGUUAAUUAUAUUAUCAUCUCAAGGAGCUCAAGUUGGACUGAAACUCACUUGAUAACUGAAACUACUAGGGCGAGGGGCAGGAUCCAUGGUGCUGCUAGCAAUGAACGGCCUGGGGUGGUGGCAUUGAAUGGCUUGGAAUGGUGGUUGUGAACGUCAAGGGUGCUCCGGCAGCAGAGCCCCACUGGGAGAUGGCAAUGCAAUCAGAACUUCAGAGACAAUUUUACAAAGUUACAGCUGCAAGCUAGCAAGGAUAUUGUAGAUUUUUGUUUGGCACUAUGGUCAUGGAGUCAAAUAAGAUCAAACAUGCCAGGCAUAUAAAAUUUGUUGUUUGAUGUUACCAUGAGCAGUGGUUACAUAGUAAAUUCAAAAAAAAACAUGGCAGGAACAUCAUGGAUAGCAGUAAAUGGCAAUUCACUUGGAAGCAUCUGGUACAAAAAAUGUACUAGCAACGACAAAUUCAUUUGCAAGCAACCGCUAUAUAUGCGUGAUUCCAAAAUUGUUCCCCAACCUGUUGCAACAUCACUACUUGAACUGGUGUGAGUCCAAACCUAGACGGACGGGACAGGAGGGAGACGGUCGAGCACGAUGAUCACUGAUCAAUUCACAUAGGAACAUGAACAAAGUGCAUACGGUGGAACAUACUGCAAUUUGUGAGGUUCUUCUCAUCCAAGCUUCAAGAAAGAACAAAAUAAAGAUACAAAAUUGGACCAUAUGGCAAAUCAUUUGAGAGAGAGAGAGAGAGAGAGAGAGGUUCCCUGCACCUGGCUUUUUGAUUUUUGAGGUUCUUCUCACUCUGAUUGCUUUUUCAUUUCUUUGCUUCCUCUCAUAGAAUGGCAAAAUGCAGUGUAACCGUAUUAGCUAGGAACUAACACAUAGAAAGAAAGAUCUACUGACCAGGGGGGCUAGCUCAUUCUGGUACUAUUUUACCCGACGCAUAAGCAGAAAAGAAAUUCCAGAGAAAAAAGGUUCAGAAAGAGAUGUGAUAGCUUCUGUGACCCACCUGCGGGAAAGAGGUAGAAGUUCAGAAGCAUAACAACAAGUUCUACUUCAUUCAACAAAAAGAAAAUCCAUUUAUACUCCUGUAUACACCCAACAAGCAUCAAAUUCCAUAUACCUGAACUUUCAUUUAUUGAUAUACUUGAACUUAUUUGCUGUUAAUGUACAUGGACUUUGUAAUUAAACAUAGAAACUGAGAGAGAUAGCAGUCUUUGAACUGAAACAAAAUUAGGAAUUGAAUUGGACUAAAUCAAGAAAUUGAACUGAGUGUGCCAUGAUUUAGUCGAUGUAGAAGAUCAUUCCAUUUUGCUAUCUCUCUCACACACUCAGGUCACCCUGCUGAACCAACAAACAAUAGCAGCACACCAAUGCAAGCAGUAGGGGCUUCAUGCAACAGCAGACAGUAGUAACCAGUACUAGCGCAUUUUCCGAACUCUCCUUUUCUUUUAUCUCUUUUUUCUCAAACUUCCGCCGAUGAACCCUGGACUUAUCUGCUUUUAUAAUUUGAACUUAUAAAAAAUAAUUGAUGUAAAGAAAAGCAGAGGAUAUCCGCAAGUGAUCGUGUGAUUGAAAAGUCUAAAUAACUGGUUAUUAUGUCUCCAACUUUGAGAGCCCGCCCAAGCUGAAUCAUCACUGUACCACUUUUGCUCCAUAGAGCAAAGUGCAAGAAGAAACGUAAAUUCAAGAAUCAUUACACAGCCGCAGUUUUUUCUAUUGGAAUUCAUUGAACUGAAUAAAAUCCUAUAGUGUGUACUGAAAAAAACACUAUAAGGUAUUUAAAUGAACUCUCAUCAGUAGUAUUUUUUGUACUUCUCAUAUAGUAAUUCAUGGACUUGUUGUUAAAUACGUACAUGGACCAUGUAGUAAUCUUGAACUUAAUAAUAAUCUCAUGGACUUGUUCUCUUUCUGCAGUUGAACUGAUGUAGGUCCUUGUGUCAAACUUCUACUUACUAUUCUGAGGUCUUUUAAUGAAAACUUACUGAAGAAAAUAAAGGGUCGAAGGAUGUUUUCUAGUAUGGAAUAUGAAGAGGAGGCAAGCAGCUUCACUAUCAUUUUUUGCCCAUCGUUGUCCUUCGUUGGGUGCAUCCAUGGCCACCGUAAUACAUAAGAGUGAACACCAGUACAAAAUUAGCGAGAACACAAGUACAGAAUUAGCGAGAACACAAGUUCAGUAACAUUGUCAGUUCAGUAACAUAGACAAGCAAACACAGCUGAAUGAUCAUUAGUGCAAACGCACAAGCAGCUGAACCGCGUCACAUCAUUAGCAUACACGAGCAAGACAGUGAAGAACCAUCUCUUUUCCUCUAAAAACAAGCAGAAUAGAACAAGCUGCAGUAUAGAUACAAAAGCAUAUCAGGUAGAGAGAGGAGAGCGGCACGGGGGAGAGGUCAUUUUGCCGUAGUUGUACACAUGAUGGCAAUUUCUAAAAGAUGACCUUCAGUAAGUGGCGAAGAUGAACGGCCGGUGAGCUGGCGGUGGCCAGAGGAAGAACAAGCCAGCGGCAGCCUGGAAGGCCAACGAGCCAUCGGUUUGGAGUAGGUGCGCGCGUGGCAGGCGGCGUGGGGCGGGGCGUGCUGCCGGCGCCUGGAGGAGGACGGAGGCGCGCAUAGGCGGCAUGGGCGGCUGCUGCUGUGGGAUAUAUGAGGUGGUGGUGGAGUGACGCUGGGAUCCAGGGAGGUUGGGGCUCGGGCGGCGNNN
RNAcentral lists this long non-coding RNA (5381 nucleotides) under Triticum aestivum (bread wheat). RNAcentral describes it as "long non-coding RNA (TAES_LNC016232)". Lineage: Eukaryota; Viridiplantae; Streptophyta; Magnoliopsida; Poales; Poaceae. The record is from RNAcentral.